This 450-nucleotide ribosomal RNA is filed under the name uncultured bacterium. RNAcentral's name for it is "partial 16S ribosomal RNA". It matches the Rfam family "Bacterial small subunit ribosomal RNA", at positions 354 to 796 of the family's 1533-position model. The record is from RNAcentral.
GUGGGGAAUUUUGGACAAUGGGCGCAAGCCUGAUCCAGCCAUUCCGCGUGCAGGAUGAAGGCCUUCGGGUUGUAAACUGCUUUUGUACGGAACGAAAAGCCUCUGGUUAAUACCCGGGGGUCAUGACGGUACCGUAAGAAUAAGCACCGGCUAACUACGUGCCAGCAGCCGCGGUAAUACGUAGGGUGCGAGCGUUAAUAGGAAUUACUGGGCGUAAAGCGUGCGCAGGCGGUGAUGUAAGACAGUUGUGAAAUCCCCGGGCUCAACCUGGGAACUGCAUCUGGGACUGCAUUGCUGGAGUGCGGCAGAGGGGGAUGGAAUUCCGCGUGUAGCAGUGACAUGCGUAGAUAUGCGGAGGAACACCGAUGGCGAAGGCAAUCCCCUGGGCCUGCACUGACGCUCAUGCACGAAAGCGUGGGGAGCAAACAGGAUUAGAAACCCUUGUAGUCC